This 115-nucleotide ribosomal RNA is filed under the name uncultured bacterium. RNAcentral describes it as "partial 16S ribosomal RNA". It matches the Rfam family "Bacterial small subunit ribosomal RNA", at positions 338 to 453 of the family's 1533-position model. The record is from RNAcentral.
CCUACGGGAGGCAGCAGUAAGGAAUAUUGCUCAAUGGCCGAAAGGCUGAAGCAGCAACGCCGUGUGAAGGAUGAAGGGUUUUUCCUGUAAACUUCUGUAAGAGGGGAAAAAUAAU